This 1458-nucleotide ribosomal RNA is filed under the name Minisyncoccota bacterium. RNAcentral's name for it is "bacterial SSU rRNA". It matches the Rfam family "Bacterial small subunit ribosomal RNA". Lineage: Bacteria; Bacillati; Minisyncoccota. The record is from RNAcentral.
UUAACUUAGAGUUUGAUCCUAGCUCAGGGUGAACGCUGGCGACGUGGAUAAGGCAUGCAAGUCGAGUGGGUUUAGACCCACGGCAGACGAGGUAGUAACAUGUAGGAACGUACUCCAAAGUCAGGAAUAAUCAGUCGAAAGGCUGAAUAAUACUUGAUAUCCCGCAAGGGGAAAGAUUUAUCGCUUUGGAAGCGGCCUGCACAAUAUCAGCUAGUUGGUGAGGUAAUGGCUCACCAAGGCUAUGACGUUUAGGGGAGCUGAGAGGCUGACCCCCACCGAUGGAACUGAGAAACGGUCCUUACUCCUACGGGAGGCCGCAGUCGAGAAUCUUCCGCAAUGGGCGAAAGCCUGACGGAGCGACGUCGCGUGAUGGAUGAAGUGCUUCGGUACGUAAACAUCUUUUAUAGGGGAAGAAGUAAUUGACAUUGCCCUAUGAAUAAGGGGCUCCUAACUCUGUGCCAGCAGGAGCGGUAAUACAGAGGCCCCAAGCGUUACCCGGAAUUACUGGGCGUAAAGGGUGUGUAGGUGGUCGUAUUAGUCGAUCGUGAAAUCUCCCGGCUUAACCGGGAACCCGCGAUCGAAACGGUACGACUAGAGGGCGCGAGAGGUAUGUGGAACUCAUGGUGUAGGGGUGAAAUCCGUUGAUAUCAUGGGGAACACCAAAAGCGAAGGCAGCAUACUGGCGCGUUCCUGACACUCAAACACGAAAGCGUGGGUAGCGAACGGGAUUAGAUACCCCGGUAGUCCACGCCCUAAACGAUGAUAACUGGCUUUUCGGAGUAUCGACCCUCUGAGAGGCGAAGCUAACGCGUUAAGUUAUCCGCCUGGGUAGUACGGUCGCAAGACUAAAACUCAAAGGAAUAGACGGGGGCUCGCACAAGUGGUGGAGCGUGUGGCUUAAUUCGUCGCUAAGCGAAGAACCUUACCAAGGUUAGAAAUCCAACUGCAAGCCUGCGGAAACGUGGGAAUCCUUCGAGGGUGUUGGACAGGUGAUGCAUGGCUGUCGUCAGUUCGUGGUUUGAAUUGUUCCCUUCAGUGGGGUAACGAACGCAACCUUCGUUGCCUGUUAUACGUGUCAGGCGAGACUGCCCCCUCACGGGGGAGGAAGGUGGAGAUGACGCCAAGUCAGCAUGUCCCUCUGAUAUCUUGGGCUGCACACGCGCUACAAUCGCCGUUACAAAGAGACGCAAUACCGUAAGGUGGAGCAAAUCUUGAAAGGCGGCGCCAGUUCGGAUUGAGGUCUGCAACCCGACCUCAUGAAGCCGGAAUCACUAGUAAUCGCGGAUCAGCCACGCCGCGGUGAAUACGUUCUCGAGCCUUGUACUCACCGCCCGUCAACUCAAGGGAGCCGGGAAGACCGGAAGACCUCGCUCGUCGAGGUUCAGGGUAAGCUCGGUAACAGGGAGUAAGUCGUAACAAGGCACGGGUAGGGGAACCUGCUCGUGGAAUUAUUCCAAA